UGUGUAUGUAACUAUGUGUGUGACUGUCAUGUAUAUGUAGCUCUGUAGUUAAGUGUAUGUCUAUGUAUCUGUUUAUGAGUUUGGCAUGUGCAUAAGAUUGUAAGUGUAACUGUGUGUAUUCAUGUGUGUGAGUGUCUAGAAGUGUGACUAGAUAUUUGUGUGUGCUUGCAUGUGUGAGUGUCUAUGUGUGGCAGUGAAACUGCAGAUGUGUGUGGCUGUAUCUAUAUUUGUGUGUGUGUGCAUGUGUCUGAGUGUGUGUAAGUCCUAAAUAGCACUCACACUAUUUACAGUGGUCUGAAAACACCUCUCUGGGUGCUCCUUUGCACCUGGCCACUGGGGACACUGCCAAGUCAUGAUGCUGGACUUUGCUGACUUUCUUUUCCAUUCUUUCUGUUUUUCAAAUGUUGACCUUUAGACACAUUUCAGGACAGCACAUUCCUGUGGGAAAUCUGUGAGGUGGAAAAUCAAAAUUCUCCUGAUGACUGUUUAUAAAGAAUAACGGCUAGCUCAUGUCUUCAGUGUUUUAUAGAAGUGCUCACAUGUAAUCUAAACAAGAACUCUACAAGAGAGGUAUCCAGAGCCACAUUUUAUAGAUAAGGAAAUUGAGGCUCAGAGAGGACUAGAAAUUUGGCUAAGCUCCUGCAGCUGGAAGUCUUUGGUGGUCUGGCUGGAUGGAGCCAAGGUUUUGGAGGCAGCCUGGAGCAAGAGACAAUGCCUGAGAAUUGCCAUCAGAGGACCCAUUUUAAAUCUCGGCUGUACCACUUACCAAAAGAACACACACACUGACCCACUGUGCCUCAGUUUCCUCCUGUACAAAAUGGAGAUAAAAAUAGCAUCUAUCUGGUAGGGUCAUGGUAAAGCCUGAGUAAGACAAUUCUGGAGGCUUCUCAGUUGUCCGGCUGCCAGAGGGGUGGGAUGCUGCUCCCCUAAGACUCUUAGAUGUGGAGAACAAUGCAAAGUGCUAGACUUCUGCAAAGCCUUAUGUUUGAUCUGAAAAACCUGCUCAAAAGUAUCCAUGUGCUUCAGGAGAUAACUUUGUCUCUGCUUCUCACUUUCAGAGUUGGGGGCUGCAUCUGACAAGUGGCCGUGGUUUCAAGUCUCUGGAGUCCCAUUUUUUUCUCUUCCAUGGAGUUUGUUUGCUGCAGUUUGAGGAGCCGAGGCAUAUGAUAAAUACCAGGUGUCCUUAGAAGAAGAGGAGAUUGGGCCCCAGACACACAUGCACAGAAGAAAGACCACGUGAAGACAGAGGGAGAAGACGGCGAUCUACAAACCAAGGAAACAUCCUCAGAAUGAAACCAACCUUGCCAACCCCUGAUCCUAGACCUCCAGCCUCCACAACGGUCUUUGGACUCAGAUGGAAUUAUACCACGGGGUUUCCUGGGUCUCCAGCAUGCAGAUGGCAGAUUGUGGAACUUCUCAGCCUCCAAAAUCGAGUGAGCCAAUUCCCAUCAUAAAUCCCCUCUCCUGUGUCUAAAUAUGUCCUAUUGCUUCUCUUUCUCUGGAGAAUGCUGACUAAUACAGACAUAAUACAGCAGUCUUUGGGGAUGAUGUAUGAGUAUGUGGAGGAAGAACUAGACAUGAAGCAGAGUGUGCUUUCUUUAACAUAACUUUUUCAUUAAAAUAGUUGUAUGUGCUUCGUACAAAAACUUGGAAAAUACAGAAAUGUAAUGGAAAAAGGAAGAAGAAAAACUACCAUCCAUUAUUUUCUCUCCCUCCCUCCUCAAUCUCCAGGAGGAUUACAAUUAACCACAGUUUUCCCUUUAUUUUUCAGAGUUGGGAUUCUCCAGUAUGAAUAUUUUUGCUCUGAUUUUUAAAAUUAAUAUAGCUUACACUUUUCCCAAGACAUACUAAACUGCUCUCAAAUAUUUUAGUGGCUA
RNAcentral lists this long non-coding RNA (1877 nucleotides) under Homo sapiens (human). Its description in RNAcentral is "HSALNT0384894". The record is from RNAcentral. Lineage: Eukaryota; Metazoa; Chordata; Mammalia; Primates; Hominidae.